This 800-nucleotide small RNA is filed under the name uncultured Phaeosphaeria. RNAcentral's name for it is "eukaryotic LSU rRNA". The stretch from base 518 to 800 matches the Rfam family "Eukaryotic large subunit ribosomal RNA", at positions 1 to 281 of the family's 3401-position model. The record is from RNAcentral. Lineage: Eukaryota; Fungi; Ascomycota; Dothideomycetes; Pleosporales; Phaeosphaeriaceae.
CUUGGUCAUUUAGAGGAAGUAAAAGUCGUAACAAGGUUUCCGUAGGUGAACCUGCGGAAGGAUCAUUAUCAAAACAGCGGGCUUCGGCCCUUGCUGCACCCUUGUCUUUUGCGCACCGUAUCGUUUCCUCGGCGGGCUUGCCUGCCGGUUGGACACCAUAAAACCUUUUUGUAGUUGCAAUCAGCGUCAGAAAAAUCAUAAUUAUUACAACUUUCAACAACGGAUCUCUUGGUUCUGGCAUCGAUGAAGAACGCAGCGAAAUGCGAAAAGUAGUGUGAAUUGCAGAAUUCAGUGAAUCAUCGAAUCUUUGAACGCACAUUGCGCCCCUUGGUAUUCCAUGGGGCAUGCCUGUUCGAGCGUCAUUUUGUACCCUCAAGCACUGCUUGGUGUUGGGCGUUUGUCCUGCAAAGGACUCGCCUGAAAGCGAUUGGCGGCCAACGUAGUCGUGGCAGAGCGCAGCACAAUUUGCGUCUCUCCCCUCUGCGUCGGCGUCCAUAAAGCCUACAAUUCAAACGUUUGACCUCGGAUCAGGUAGGGAUACCCGCUGAACUUAAGCAUAUCAAUAAGCGGAGGAAAAGAAACCAACAGGGAUUGCCCUAGUAACGGCGAGUGAAGCGGCAUCAGCUCAAAUUUGAAAUCUGGCUCUUUCAGAGUCCGAGUUGUAAUUUGCAGAGGGCGCUUUGGUGUCGGCAGCGGUCCAAGUUCCUUGGAACAGGACGUCACAGAGGGUGAGAAUCCCGUACGUGGUCGCUGACCUACACCGUGUAAAGCCCCUUCGACGAGUCGAGUUGUUUGGGAAU